ACGCCCAACCUUCUCCAGGUCUGUCUUUCCGUAACCGUGUUGACCUGACGGCGAGAGAGCAAGACCAUAAGAUCCAUCUGGUUCACUCCUUCAGAUGGGAGCAGAGCCAUUUUACACACUGGGUGAUGGUUGUCGUGGUGCCGGUGGUUAAAGGCGGGUACAGUACGCUGGGAAUGCUGUGUUAAGGACUUCAGGAGUGUUGCUGGGAUACAACAUCAUGCCGGUCCACCAGAUUGUUGUGGCUCCAGUCCGGGACCCAAAGAGCAGUCCUCGCUCCAAGGACAAGCUUGAGCGCUCUCGCAUGGAGGAGCGCAGGCAGCAGGACACGACUCAGCAGACGUCCACCAAGGUCAGACAGCAGCACCAGCCAAAGUCACCAGUGGUGCAGGGGAAGCACCAGUACCCGCAGCAGCCUGGGAGAGGAAGAAUAAUUGUUUUACUGGUCCUUUCUAAUAAGUGUUUAUUGUCCACUCAAAAGAAGGACUUACAGGUUUCCAUGUCCGAGCAGCAAUCACACACGCCACUGCUCCACAUCCCCGACGUCACUGAUUGUGUUGUGGUGGUUACGCUGGUGAUGGCUGGCCGAGGCUGCUGUUGCUGGGGUUGCUGCUGGUAGGGCUGCUGCUGGUAGGGCUGCUGCUGGUAGGGCGGUUGCUUGUAGGUAUGCUUUUUGUAGUGUGGCGGGUGUUGCUGUUGGUAGGCCAUGUCUAGCAACGGUGAAAAUGUUUAGAUUAAUUUUUUAACAUGUUUCGCUUGGUUUCUUGUGUUAUACAUAAACUGAUAUCAUGGCUAACCCCGAACAUAAGCCAAAUAAAAGGACUUUAAGCUAGCUAGAAUGAAAAUGGCGACUAACGUGUGGUGCCAUAUUCAUGAAAGUAAAAGUCUUACCUGAUUGUAUUAAAUGCUGAUAAACUCAACAUUAUUGCAACUUUACGUUCAUCUUAUGUCGUCCUCUUUGCAUGGGCAUGCCUUUGGUUUAAGAAAAUCUAUUUUAGUGAACCAAAGGCAUGCCUUGGAUUCAUUUUUGUUCUGAAGCAACGUUAACGCUUCACUGCAUUUACGACUGAAAGGGGUUCCUAAGACAUACAUUCGUAUCGUGGAUAUUUAUGAAAGCCAAAAGGCACGAGUAACCCCUGACUGCAGCUCGCAGAUCGAGGAGGGGCUUAAGUUUUCCUUAAAUGUGGGCUGGCUUAAACGUUUAAGCCAGCCCACAUUUAAGGAAAAUUCCGCGCAGUAUUAUGGACUCAGACGGAAAUACGUUCUCCCGCUUUCUGCAGAAAGCGGGAGAACGUAUUUCCGUAAGUCCAUAAUACUGCGCGCUUUUCUGCCUAGAGGUAAGUUGCCGCUCUCUGUUCGUGUACAUUAUAAACUAAUGUAUGGAUAGACCAACAAGUUGAUCAUUAAAAUGUUCAUGGAAGUAACAUGCAUAGGCCUCAUGUUUAUGUCAUGAGGUUGUUUGAAAAAUAGCAUUUAGGCAGUGUUUUUCAGCUUUUUUUAACGCCAUGCCCUCGUGCAUGGCGUCCACAUAUGAGGACAAUUAAAUAAACUCCAAUAUUUUGCUUAUCAUGGUAAUAUUCUCCAAACCACAUUGGUAAGAUAUGUUUCGUGAAACAUUGAAACCUGAUUUAAAUUUUGCUAUUCCCCUCCAGAUUUGCCUGCACACUGCACCACGACAUUGCACCACAUAACAUAACACACACAUUACAAAACCAACAGUUAUUUUAAGAACUCCUCUCUGUCUGUCUGUCUGUGUCUGACUGACUGACUGAUGGCCUGUCUGUCUGACUGACUGACUGUCUUUCUGUCUGACGGACCGUCUGUGUCCUUAUUUUCUCUGGCCGGUAGGUUCACUGCAAUGCUUAAAAAAAAAUCAUAUUUCAUAUCCAGGUUUAUAAAAACAGUUACUAAUGCGCUAUAUUUGUGUGUGUUUCUACCCUAGAGUAUGUCUGAGAGAAAUAAAGAAGCUACUUUCAUUGACCUUGUGUUGCCUUCGGAAAACAUGCUGCAAAUUAGGAGAUGGUGGUGUCUCGCUCUCCUGCAGAACUUCCCCAUACCGUCUGAAGAAGACCGAUUGCAGGACAGAAAACGGCGACGAGUGCAAGGAGGGCUACAGACGCUGGGAAAUUGACAGAACUGGAAACCGGGAACAGGGUUGCCUGCUAUGGGCCAGAAAAAUACCUUGAUACUUGCCUUUGUUAAACAUUUAUGGAAGCUUUUUUUUUUUCUUCUUUACCGAUCAAAUUUUUUUUGCCUUGGGUGAAAAUAAAAAUCAAUGAUGCAAAGUCUUCUGUCUUUGGUUUAUUUGACUUAGCUAAUAUAAUUGAGUGUACGAAAUAAUAUGUGUCUAUA
Molecule: long non-coding RNA, 2349 nt
Organism: Gadus morhua (Atlantic cod)
Lineage: Eukaryota; Metazoa; Chordata; Actinopteri; Gadiformes; Gadidae
Exons: 6
Source: RefSeq, a predicted model, not a curated record